This 440-nucleotide ribosomal RNA is filed under the name uncultured bacterium. RNAcentral describes it as "partial 16S ribosomal RNA". It matches the Rfam family "Bacterial small subunit ribosomal RNA", at positions 338 to 795 of the family's 1533-position model. The record is from RNAcentral.
CCUACGGGAGGCAGCAGUGGGGAAUAUUGCACAAUGGGGGAAACCCUGAUGCAGCGACGCCGCGUGAGUGAAGAAGUAUUUCGGUAUGUAAAGCCCUAUCAGCAGGGAAGAAAAUGACGGUACCUGUUUAAGAAGCCCCGGCUAACUACGUGCCAGCAGCCGCGGUAAUACGGAGGGGGCAAGCGUUAUCCGGAUUUACUGGGGGUAAAGGGAGCGUAGACGGCAGCACAAGUCUGGAGUGAAAUGCCGGGGCUUAACCCCGGAACUGCUUUGGAAACUGUGUAGCUAGAGUGCAGGAGAGGUAAGUGGAAUUCCUGGUGUAGCGGUGAAAUGCGUAGAUAUUAGGAGGAACACCAGUGGCGAAGGCGGCUUACUGGACUGUAACUGACGUUGAGGCUCGAAAGCGUGGGGAGCAAACAGGAUUAGAUACACUUGUAGUC